This 435-nucleotide ribosomal RNA is filed under the name uncultured bacterium. RNAcentral's name for it is "partial 16S ribosomal RNA". It matches the Rfam family "Bacterial small subunit ribosomal RNA", at positions 29 to 507 of the family's 1533-position model. The record is from RNAcentral.
AACGAACGCUGGCGGCAGGCUUAACACAUGCAAGUCGAACGCAUGCCUUCGGGCAUGAGUGGCAGACGGGUGAGUAACGCGUGGGAACCUACCCCUUGGUACGGGAUAGCUCCGGGAAACUGGAGAUAAUACCGUAUGUGUCCUGAGGGACAAAGAUACAUCGCCAAGGGAUGGGCCCGCGUCGGAUUAGCUAGUUGGUGGGGUAACGGCCUACCAAGGCGACGAUCCGUAGCUGGUCUAAGAGGAUGAUCAGCCACAUUGGGACUGAGACACGGCCCAAACUCCUACGGGAGGCAGCAGUGGGGAAUAUUGGACAAUGGGCGCAAGCCUGAUCCAGCCAUGCCGCGUGAGUGAUGAAGGCCCUAGGGUUGUAAAGCUCUUUCACCGGUGACGAUAAUGACGGUAACCGGAGAAGAAGCCCCGGCUAACUUCGUG